Molecule: long non-coding RNA, 28669 nt
Filed under: Cricetulus griseus (Chinese hamster)
Lineage: Eukaryota; Metazoa; Chordata; Mammalia; Rodentia; Cricetidae
Description: lncRNA (ENSCGRG00015030078.1)
Source: RNAcentral
AGGAAGUGGUUCCUUUUCCCCUUCGCUCUUCUUCCUGCUCUCUGCUCUGAGUCAUCAUGUGAUCCCGGGGAUGAGGAUGCCAGCAGAAGGUGUCCAAUAAGAUAAGUCUUAUAAAAUAUAUAGAUUCAUGAUAAUUAAGACUGAGCUAGCAGAUGAGAAAUCCUAGUCAUUGGCCAAGCAGCAUUUGUACCUAAUAUAAGUCUCUGUGUAUUAUUUGGGGCCCUAAUGCAGUGAGCGUAGCUCAAGUGGGUGGCAGAAAGAUUUAUCAUAACAGGGAAAGGCAAGUAAUUGGGGAGCAUCACCUGGGGGUUUGUGAGACAGGGCAGGAAUCUGGUUCUGAGGGGUAUGCUCUCAAAUUAGUGAUACCAUUGACAAUGGAGCUUAGCCCUACUGGGGACUCCAGGAGCCUCAGGAGAAUGCCACCUCACCCAGGGUCACAUAGCCCAAGCGCUAGGAACUUGGGGAACAAAGGUUCCUUCUUAUCCAUGGUUUUAUUUCCAUGGUCUCCAUUACACCAACCACAGUCCAUAAACAGUACAGGGAAAAUUCCAGAAAUGAGCCUUUCUUUCUUUCUUUCUUUCUUUCUUUCUUUCUUUCUUUCUUUCUUCUUUUUUUUCCAAGACAGGAUUUCUCUGUGUAGCCAUGGCUGUCCUGAAACUCCAUCUGUAGACCAGGCUGGCCUUAAACUCACAGAGAUCUCCGUAUCUCUGCUUCCAAAGUGCUGGGAUUAAAGGCAUGUGCCACCACUGUCUGGCUGAAAUGAGCAAUUCUUAAGGUUUAAAUAACAUUAAAGUUUGUUGUUACAAUUGUUCUGUUUUAUCAUUAUUGUUACAAAUAUCAUACUGUGCUUGAUUUACAAAUUAAGCUUUAGCAUGGGUGUGUUUAUACAGGAAAAAAACAGUGUAUAGCAGAGUCAGAAUUCGGAAAUUCCAGCACUCCCCUUGGUUAUCUGGAAAGGCCCCUCCCUCAGAGGUGUAGCAACUGCAUUUAUCCACACACUCUGACUGGUCAGUCAAUGGAAGCUGUGUCCAGAGGUGUUGGUUCCCCACAUCAUCCAGCCUUCCACACUUAGGGUCAGGUGAGAGGAAGCCCUCCGAUAAAAGUGGAUCUAGGUUUGGGCAAUUGGAAUUCAGUCUUGCCCAUUGUGAUAGUAGGAAGUGGUGGCAACCAGGGCAUUGUCAGCCUCUGCUUCUGCAGCAAAUGCUAAGGGCUUCAAGUUCUGUCUCUCAUAGCGCUAGGAACGAAACCAGGGCUGCACAUGCUCAGGAAGCAUCCACCCCGGAAGCACAUCAUUAGCCCCAGUCCACUUCACUUUAAAAUUUAAGUCUAUGAAUGGAUGAGCACAUGGAUGAAAGGGUGAAAAGACAGACAAACAGACACACAGACAAGACAAACAGACAGUUGUGCAGUAGGUGUUCACAGAGAUGGCUGGGUGAGCGUUGAGUAAACGGAUGCAUGGAUAGUGUAAUGCAUAGGUAGAUAGGUGGGGCCUGGGUAAAUGGGUGUCUAGACAGAUGGAGAGACGGACUGGAUCUUGCUGUACAGGCAAGUGUGUUGGUUGUUUAGGAACUGCGCCUGUGACUUUGUGGCUGGACAGUGAGAUGAGUAGAUAGAGUACACGUAGAGGGGAACGACGACAAGUGGACGGAUGACCUGGUUUAGAAAAGGAAAAGGGCUGGCUGUGGCUUAGCAGGCAGAACCUUGGCCUUCAUUUGAAGUGAACUCAGCUACCAUUACCCCAUCCCAUCUUGUCUCCCACUGAUCUGGGAGGACCCCUUCUCAGUCCACAAGCAUCCCAGUUCUGCUCUCACCUGGAUGGCCCCACAUCAAGACCCGUAUGGGGACCCCGGGUGACUGUAGAGAGAGUGUGACUUGGGGAAGCCUGCAUGAUGGAACGGAAGGAGAUUGCAAUACUUGGCCUUGUACCUAGAAUGAUGGUGUCUUGCCUGGGGCUGUCUGGGCAUCUGUCCAAGUGACAACAUCAUAGGGCUGGCUCUGGCUACCCUGCCCUAUGGGUGGAUGUCAGACAUAUCCAGGCUUGUCCUGCCACCCAAGCCCUGCAGUGGCUAAAGGACAAGACAACUUUCACAGUGGGAGCAGGGAAAGGAGGCUGACAUCAGGCAGGGAACCCACCAUCUCGGCAGAGCCCAGGAGAGUCCAGGGACACCGGGCUCCAGCCCAAAGCACAGCUGAUGGGCCCAGCUCUGCCAGGUUUCAUUGCCUGGGGCACAUUUUUAUGACUAAGGAAUAAUGAGAGGCAGGCGUCUAAUUCCCGGAUUUUCCUAGUGCAGCUGUGUGUGUGUGUGUGUGUGUGUGUGUGUGUGUGUGUGUGUGUGUAUGCUUAUGUGUGUGUAUACAUAGAUGUCACAUGUAGGUCUUAUGUGCUUGCUAUGUGUGUAUUCCAGAGUUUGUAUAUGUAUGCUAGGGACACUUUAGUACACAUGCUAUGUAUGUAAGCAUGUUUAAGCAGGGGCAGGUAUGAGCAUAUUUGUGUGCACGUGCUUGCAUAAGUAUGAACAUGUUUGCAUUUGCAUAAGCAUGUAUGUAUGUAAAAGUUGUCCAGUCUGUAUAUUUGGGCAUAUUGUUGCUGCUUGCCUGAAUGGAAUCCCCCCUGUCCUGUGUGUGUGGGGUGUGUGUGUGUGUGUGUGUGUGUGUGUGUGUGUGUGUGUGUGUGUAUGUGUGUGUGUUAGGCAGAUAAAAGAGGUCGUCAAGGAACAGGAUUCAUGGAAUAAAGAGUCCCAUUCUCUAGCUCCAUCCUCACCCCUUAUUCUACCCCAAGCUCCACCUCCUCACUUCCCCCACCCUCUCCAUUACUCUAUGGCUACAAACCAACUUCAAGAGUGAAACAAUGUUUCUCACUCAUUCCAGGCUACCCCCGGCCUCCAUGGUUUGUAUGUAUUGCCAGGAAUGUCAUAUUUGCCCUUUCUUUGUGAGGGGAAGACUUGUGUCUAAUUCUUUUUUAAAAUCCCUGAGCAUGGAACUGAAUCUGGUUAUGUCGUAGGAUGGAUGGAGGGAUGGACAGAUGUAUGUGUAGAUGAAUGAAUAAACAGAUGGGUGGAUGAAUAGAUGCAUGGAGAGAUGGAUGGACCAAGGACUUGAUAGAGGUGUAGAUGGACAGGCGCACAGCUGGGUACUUGUGUGAGAGCAUGACUAAACCCCACCGUUCUGCUUGAGACACUGGGAGCUGAGGCAAGUGCACCAAGCCUCUUCCCCACCUCACCUUCACUCUGGUGUGGAAAGAAAACCUCUUCUGGCUGCAAGGGCAACUCUGCAUUCUUCCCUCUGGUCACCCCUGCUCUUAGGACUGCUGGCUCCAGGUUGGCCACCUACCUCACCAAGGAGCAGAUCAGGGCUAAAGAGGCAUUGCUAAGUGGCUUAAGUUAGCUCCUGUUUGUGUUCCGGGCUUUCAAAGGCUGGGGAGACUGCUGAGGAGGGGCCUGACUUCAGGCCCACUGCUAAGUGGGCAGGGAUUGUAAACCCUGCAGACCUUGACUGCAGGCAGCUCAAAGCAAGGCCCUAGGAGUUUUGAGACAGGAAAAUAGUGUUUUGUCUUGUGAAUGAAUUCACUUGGCUUUGCCCUGGAGAGCAGGCAGGUGUCCCCAGACGGCUGCUUUGAGCUGGUCCAGGCAAGGGGGCGGGGCGCACUCAAGCCCUGGAUUACAGAGGCCAUGCAGAAGAAGGAGGCCUUUGAUGGGGCCCGGCCUGUUGUCCAGAGCUUGCUUUGCUGGUGGCUGGAGCCCCCUAAUGAGGGGGAAAGGGCUCCACUCUGAAGCAUUCCCUGAGCCUCCCCUGGGCAGCAGGCGGAGACCUCCUUUGAUGUUGGAGUCCUUAAGCCAAGUGGGGACUAAUUGCCACAAGGUACAGAAUGUUCUGGUUUCUUGGGGGGUCUACAGCUUGCUCACAAUGGCACACCGGCCCUGGGGUAGAGGGGAAAAGGCAGCCACCAGCCUCUCUCCUGAUGGAGGCAACUCAAGGACAUUUUGUUGCUUUUUUUCUCUUCGUGCAUUCAGAUCCACACACAAAAUAGGAAGCAUGCCGGAGUCCACGGCAGGUUUGUCAAAGGGUUCUGUUGGAAAGUAUUCACUUUGAAAAUCAGAACCGGUGUAGUGGGAAGGACAAUAGUCAUACAAGAGAUAGAUGACAAUAGCAGCCUGGUGCCAAUUGAUCCAGACUCCAGGCCCUGAUUUACCACUUGUAGUUGUUGAGUAUCUCUGGACCAUCCUCCACAAAUGGCAGAUAAUCAGGCUUGACACACAGUAGGACAUCUGUCCUUUGUAUCCCUUCAGCUGCUGAGACUUGAGCCAGAAACCAAACACAUGGGCAUAUUGUUAUGGUUGGUGCAGAACGCAGGUGCCGAACCUGGUUGAUCACGUGAUCAUGACCGAGGAAGAGGAGGGUUCCUCUGGCUUUUCAUGCAUGCCUCUGAGCUUCCAUCUAAAGGAAGAUGCCCUCACAGUCCUUGAAUUAAGCUUACCCCAUCCACUCCCACCUCUACCUCCCCAUGGAAUCUGGAGCCAGACAGAGCAAUUACUAUGAAAAGAACCGUUGUAGUCAGCAAUUGUAUUUUUACUCUACCAUGCACAGCACUUGGUUAUUGGCCUGCAUUCUUGCUAGUCUUCACAGGGAAGUGCUCAAAGGCUAGUAGGUCAUUUCACAGGCUGGGAAACCAAGACUCCAAGACAAACAACUUGAUCAAGAUCAUCCUAUGUAGGAAAGGAAGCACUUUCCAAUAGGCCUGCCCCAAUGUCCACAUCCUCCCCAGCUCUUUUCAGCUGAGCUGAGCAAGCUCCUUUGGGCUCCCUUUCUCAUCUGGCCAGCAGGAAUAACAUCAAUGGUUUCCCUCCAUCUCCCAGCUGCCGCGCUGAUUUCCCCUCUGGAAUCACUAAGAGAACCUUAGAGACAUAGAAGGGACCUCUCCCCCUCCCUCCCACAGGUACCAACACUGCCUCCACUCUGUCGACUCUGCAGGGGUGUCUUGGGGAGAGGAGACCGUGUCUAACUAAAAUUAUUCUUUGGACUGUGUUGCCCUGUGUAUCUCCAUCCUGGCUUUCUGGCCUGUGGAAGCUUUGAGGAGUGGAGAGAAGAGCUGUCUCUCCUCUGAAAGCAGCUAGCGAGGGAAGUAAUUUGGUAUGUGGUGAAUCCAGUAGGUGCAUGGCAAGGGAGUCCACCUUUGCCUCUGUCAAAGUCAGCAACCAGUAUGGGAGGGGGCCUCUGGGAUGUGGAGAAAGUGCCAUCUGUGUUUCCUGGCUUCUAUGGGAUGUGUUUGACUUUACAAUUAAGACACAGGCAUCCUCAGGCAUGCACAGGAUAGCUCUGAGGAGCCAAGUGAUGCAGAGCAGAAGCCUGAAUCCAGCAGACAGGACCUAGGUCCUAGGAAAGAGUAUGGGGCUGGAAAUGGACUUCAGACAUUGUCUGUGGGUGUUGCCAGAUAGGUGUUGCCCCAAAGGUCCCUCAUAAGAGGAGAUGAUUCCCACAAAGAGUGCUGAGAGGCAAUGCCACAGCUGUCCCUGAGCUGCUGGAGCUCUGCCUGGCCUUUCCUAGAAUACCUGGACAGAGGAAGGUCUAAGAGGCUCUGCAGUUUCUGUGUCCCCAAAUGUCACCUCUACAUGUUUUCUUUUUGAAAAAAUUAACACGGAAGCAACUUCACUGUUUUACAGCAAUAUUUGUCAUCUCCCUUCUGAAAUGUAUGUAUGUAUGUAUGUAUGUAUGUAUGUAUGUAUGUAUGUAUGCAUGUAUGUAUGUAUUCAGACUGAGAGAUGGCUCAACAGUUCAGAGUGCUCUGCUUUUGCAGAGGUUGCAAUUUCCAGAACCCAUAUCUAGUGUCUCACAACUGCCUGUAACUUCAGCUCCAAGGAACUCUGACUCCCUCUUCUGGCCACCUGGAGGCAUUGCAUUCAUGCACACAAACCCACUCACAGAUACACAUACAAACAUACAAAUAAAAAAGAAACAAAUAGAGAUAAGCUAAAAGGAGGAAAUAAAAAUGGCCAGAGAUAGCUAUAUACACAGCUGGCCUCUACAUCUGUGGGUUCCUCAUUGGCAGAUUCAGCCAAGCCUGUGUGCAUCUCUGUACUGAGCAUGCCCAGAUGUUUUCUUCUGAUCCUCUUAACCAAUGCAGUGUGGCUAUUCACACAGCAGUUUCGGUGUCCCGGGCAUGAGAAGUCACCCAGAGAUGAUGAAAGUUGACAGGAGGCUGUGCAUGGGUCAGAUGCCAACAUUGCUCCAUUGUACAUGAGAGACUUAGGCUCCUGUGGGUGCUGGUAUCUGAGGGAAUCCAGGGGCUAAUUGGCCAUCUGUGAUUGUACACAUGUAGUAUGGUGACCUGGUCUCUCCUACUUAAUAUUUCCGACAUAUGUCUGACUGGUGAUCUUAAACAAUUUCAUAGCAUCCCAGGAAUGGUCAUAGUUUGACGAUCUCCAAUUGUCGAUUGUUUGGGCUGGUUUGAGAGCUCUGCGGUGAGUUCGCUUUCUGGACUGGUCCUGCCCCCUCCUGACUGGGUGGUGAGGGCAUCUGCUCUGCCUGGGAGCACUGGUGUUUUUGAAGUCUCUGAUGGCACAGCUGUUCCCUGGGAAGACCUGUAACAUCCUACCACCCCUUGGAGUGUCCUGAAAGCUACUUCUUGUUCCUGUCACCAACACCAGGUUUGAGAAGUCACAUCUUAACUUUUGGUGAUCUGGUAGGGGAAAAUAAUACCUCUUUUUCAUGUGACGCUUUGGCAACUACCUCGAUUUCUUUAUUCAAUAAGAAUAGGGCGGGUGCCUUCCCUGUGUCUGGCUUCCCCUACUUCGGAGAGGGAUAUGGUGACAAAAGCAUACAAUCAAACAUCAAACAGAUGGCCUCCUGUUACACUGCAGCCUGUGUCAGGAGGAAUGGUGGCCCCAUGAGCUGGGCCAGUGGGAGCUUUGACCCGAGCACACUCUGAUCAGAUUGACUUUCCUGGCUAUAGGCAAUCAACCAUCUCAAUUUCAGAGAAAGUGUAGUGUAUUAGUCAGCUUUCUGUUACUGUAGGAAAACUCCUGAGACAAAUCAACUGAAAAAGAGGAAAUGUUUCUUAGGACUCGCAUUCUGUUGGCCCCAUUGCUUGGGGGGCAUGCAGUAAAGCAGAAUACCAUGGUGAGGGAGACAUGGCAGAGGGAGCUGGUUCACCUUGUGGUCAGGAAUGAAAAAGAAAAGAACAGACUAGGAACCCUCUUUAAGCCAGGCUUCCACUACCUGAAACCUCUCAGUAGGCCCUGCCUCUUGAAGGCUCUACCAUCUGCUAACAGCACCAACCUGGGGUCACAUGGACCUCGGAGGACACUUGAGUUCCAGAUGACAGCGUGUUCCAUAAACACAGCCCCAUGCUUCCCUAACUUCCAACCCUUCCAGCCAGACAUGUCCCACAAGGGCUGCUCAGCUUGCAGACACUGACUUAGGGCUCACACCAGCGUGCCCCACAAGGGCUGCUUCUUUGGUGAAGCAUCUUGGUGUUCACUUAGGCCUACUGCUAUGCCACAUUCUCCAGAGGAUGGCUCUGAGUUCUCCCUGCACAAAUGUCUCUCCUUCUCUACAUUUAAAAUGUCUUUAUAAGACCUGAUUACCAUACUAAUAUCAUCAAUCAUGGACUGGCUUGUCCCCUCCAAAGUACGUAGACAGGGUCAACUCUCUGCACUCCCCAGAGCAGCUGGCCUGGGGGAAGCCCUCACAGGCCAAUAGUGGCUCUGUCCUAUCCCCUUGCUUCAGCAUAGUUUUCUGCCAGGAGAAGUUUCUUAUGGUAUCAGAGGCUCCUAGACUGCUCCCCCAGUUCUUGCGUGAAUUCACAAAUAAGGCAACUAUGGUGCAGACAGAGUUAGGGUUUUGUCAAGUUUGCAUCUGUAGGAAGAGGUUGGAUGUGACUCAGUCUCUCUUGGGCAGCACAACAGCCAUUGCUCCUAUAUCAUGGUCAGAUUCAAAGUCUAUAUUUCUCUGGAUCAGCAUGCAUGGGAGUCCUGGGUCCUUGGUAGUGGUCUAAGAAAGGGUCUUGGCAGUGAAUAGUACCCCCAGUUGUAAACUGAGUCAGAAGCCUAACAGCUGUCUGUCCACCCAGAUAGGCAUGUGAGCAGUACUGGCAUAUGGCUCCAGUUGCGAUGGGUGAUGGGCUAGGCAUACUUUCCCUGCUGACUGAUGUCAUGAGCUCAUUAGAGCAAUGGGGUUUAUAGCACGAGGCAACUGUCCAAGCAAUAAAUUAAGCUGCACAAUUUAGCACUUAAUUAUCCUCUCUCUCAUCUACUUCACUCUCAUUCCCUGGGUGUCCAUCUGGACCUUCUGCUGGAUGGGAAGAUCUUCCUGGGCCUCAUAUCCCACAGUCAAUGCAUCACGCAGUCCCAUUGGUACCAUCUUGGAAACAUCCCCCAAAUACUUCCCCUUCUUCAUAUCCCAUGGCCUUGACCCCAGCCAGUCCGAAUCCUUCCACUUCCCUGGCUUCUUGGUCCCUCUGGUGUUAAUUCCCCUCUUCAAUCUGCCAUAACAUCAGGCAUUUGGUUUGCUUUGACCUGAAAUCCAAAGUCCCUAGCGUGUUGACAUUCAAAGCGGGCUGUGACCUUUGGAGGCAGCCUUCCUCCUACCUCAUCUCACCAUCUUGUUCCUCCCAAACUUGCACUGGGUACCAUCUCACACGAAAGAGGCCAGACCUCCAUACGAAGCACGCAGCUGGACUUCAGGCUACCAAACCUUUGCACUUCAGCUCCCUCCUUACCUCCCACAAUCCACUCAACUUUGUCACUCUACCCAUCUCAAUGGUGCUCAGCUUUGGGGACUUUCCAGUUGAACCCACAGUAAGAUUUCUCCUUUUUAAUAAUCCCUUCCCCACCAUCUCAUGGGCACCUCACCACAGGACUGCUGGGAAAACAAUGCCACCUGUCUGUGGAAGGCUACCUAUCUGAUGAAGCACUGUCCUGCUGAGCUCCUUCAGAGUCCUCACACCUGAAUAUUCACUCAAGCCCCAGGGGCCCUUUUACAGACCACGCUACAGAAAGAGAAACUGAGGCUUGGAUACCAGAGCCUGGUCUUUACUGGUCAAAGUCUACAUGAACAAGGAUAGUAACUUGGGGUCAGGGAACACAGGCAAGAUGACCCUGUGGGUACCAGAGAGGAGGAGGGUCUUGGGGACAGACACGGGUCCGCUGGAUCAGGGAUGUUGUUAUUUGAACCAGAGGAAGCUUGACUGUCAAAGGGCAGCACCUCACCCAGAAUUCUCUUCUUCACCCCUAUUUUACUGGAGGGUAGGUGAAGGUUCAAGGAAAGGGAGUGUGCAAGAGAGGUAGAGGUUACAGAGGAAGGAGCUGUGGGUACAGCUAGCGGUCACCCUCUCUUUGUUCCCUCUUCCCCUUUCUUACUGUUUGAAUCAACAUUUCCCAAGUUUCUCCUGUCUGCAGGAUAUGUAGGCUAGUUGUCAUCAGUACAGAGAUAGCUGUUGAGUUUGGUUGAGUUUGCUGGUGGUUGGGCCUGGUAUAUGGUGGACAGUUAAUAAGCAGCGUCCGAGUGGCUAAAUUAAUGAGUAAGUAAAGGCCACCGGGACUAUAAUGCAGCCCAAUUGUAACACUGUGAGCUCUAGGAUUGCCACAUUUCCUGGGGACCUAAAGGAGUAGAUGAAUGUGACCCAAGCCUUGUAGGAGGCAUCUUGGUUGUAAGCAUCACUGCACCCAUUUUACAGAAAGGGGUACUGAGGCUUACAGAGACUGUGGGACUGACUUGAGCUCUGUGAUUAGAAAGCAGUGCUCAGCCAUACUGGGAAAUGGAAAAUUCUGCAUUGUUGUGCAUGGUGUGUGUGUGUGUGUGUGUGUGUGUGUGUGUGUGUGUGUGUGUGUGUGUACAAAGAAUGCUUUCCUUUUGAUGUCUAAACAAGAGAAGGCUCCUUGAGAAGGCCAUUGAGCUCUGUCAGCUUCUGUUUCUGUAUUUAUCAACAUUCCAUGAUGUAUGGAUCAAGAAUACAUCCUCCAAUGGGACACUAGGGAGAUGCAGGGAAGGGCCAGGAGCACUUUGCAAGCCUGAAGCACCAAGCUGCCCAGUAGGCUGGAGAGCUGGUUCCAGGCACUAGGCUGGGUGAUAUCAGCCUGGGCCCUUCCCAGCAUCUGGCCUGGGUGGAGCAUCUGGUCCCCAGUUAUAUCCAAGUCACUGGGAAUGUCCCUUGUUUCCAUAAGGGGGAGCCUGUGUGCUGGAGAUCCCAGCUCAGCUAGAGCAAUUCCAGGGACCAACUCUGGUCAGGAGUGGCCAUUUUGGUGGCACCAGCAGGUGUCUGUCCUGAGGGAGAACCACAGAGUUUUGGUGAACUGCUUUCUCCCGUUUAUCUGUGUAGAGAACCAAGGAAGAUGGAUGAGCACAAGGUUGCGUGUGGAAAGAACACAGCUUUGGAGAUGACACAUUUGGGGCUCAAACUGGCUCCAUCUGGAACACCAUGUGGCCUUGGACUGUUUCUACCUGCUGGACCUCAGUUUCCCUGUCUGUAAAAUGGGGAGGCCAACCACCUUUAGAAGUAGUUACAAACAACUAUGACAGUGCCUAGAGCAUAAUGAAUAUGAAGCCAGGGAACAAAUUGACUGUGGUCAGGACGGUCAGGAAAGUCUUAGAGGCCACCCUGGCCUUUGCACAAUGCCCGAUGAUCCACCUGCAGCAGGCCCUUCAGACAGAGAGACGCCCACAUGAAGGUAUUCUGAGCUUGUGGCUGCAAAUACAGAGCCACUAAGCAGUGUUUCUCGAGUGCUGACAAAGCAGGGAGAGAGAGAAAGUAUGUGUGUUUGCAGGGGAGUGAGUGCAUCUUGGUUUAACUGCCUGUUCUCACUGAUGCAGCCCCUUGGCUGACACACAUUUAGCACAAUGUAACACACCAGGUGCUUCAUUCUCCACAUGCUACAGGCUUUGCUAAGAGUCAUUUUACCUUCUUUUAUUGGGAUCCUGCCAAAAAGCAAACCAAGUAUGCCACGGUCCCUCCCCCUGGGAGGAGAGCAGCAGUAUGGCUCCCUCUGCCCAGGCCUGGUGCUUCCAUCAGGGCAGGAUGCACAGUGACUGUCUACAGCCCUUCCACGGCCUCCUCCACACUCAUGGGUAUUUUGUGUUGAGACAGGGCCUUGCUACGUAGCCCCAACUUACCUGGAACUUGGUAUGUCAGUGAUUCUCAACCUUCCUAAUACUGUGACCCUUUAAUGCAUUUCCUCAUGUGUGGUGACCCCCAACCAUAAACUUAUUUUUGUUGCUACUUCAUAGCUGUGAUUUUGCUACUGUCACGAAUCAUAAUGUAAACAUCCGUGUUUUUCAAUGGUCUUAGGUACCCCAGUGAAAGGGUUGUUUGACCCCCUCCCCAGGGGUCAAGAUCCACAGAUUGAGAAACACUGCCAUGUAAACUACACUGGACUUGAACUUGUAUUUAUCAGUACUCUGUCUCUGAGAUUACAGAUGAGCACCAGAGAGGAGAACCAACAGAUGAGCACCAGAGACCAGCACCAUCAGAGAGAGUUAAGGUUUUUCCUAAAUAAAAAUAGCAUCUUCUCCCUGGUUCUGAAAACAAUGCAAGUACAUCAUCACAAGUCACCCAGCCAGGGCCACUGUUGCUGCUCUUCUGUGUCUGUCGGGUGCCCACACGACCCAGCUGCAGGUGCACCCUGCCUUGCUGCCCACUGCUAUGAUCUCCUCUAUCCAGGGGCUUGCCUUGGUCGUUCUAACUGUCUCCCUCUUUAUGAGAGCACAGAUCAGCUCAUUUAACCAAGCUCCUAUUGUUAUACACUUAUAUUACCUCUGUCUUCUUUUUUAUUCUUUUAAAAAAGAUUUUAUUUAUUUAUUAUGUAUAUAACAUUCUGCUUCCAUGUAUAUCUGCACACCAGCAGAGGGCACCAGAUCUCAUAACAGAUGGUUGUGAGCCCCAUGUGGUUGCUGGGAAUUGAACUCAGGACCUCUGGAAGAGCAGCCAGUGCUCUUAACCGCUGAGCCUUCUCUCCAGCCCCUUCUUUUUUAUUCUUUACCAUCUUGUUUAAAAACAAUUACAGAAUGCUAUCUUGGGGCUGCUGAGCUGGCUCAGGGGUGCCACUGUUCUUGCAGGGAACCUGUGUUGGGUUCUUAGCAGCCAUGUUGGUCAAGUUACAACUACCAAUGACUCCAGGGGACUUGAUGUCCUCUUUGCACUCAUGUGCACAAACCUACAUACAUAUAUAUGCAUAUACAUAAUAAAAUAAUAAAUCUUUAAGAAUAAGUCUCACACAAUACACAUAUAUGCAUGAUCUUGAAGCUGACCCAUCCAUUCUUCCUUUUGAUUGCCGAAUAGCCAUCUGUGGCAUAACUGCACCACACAUAACAAACCUUCCUCUAUCUUAGGACAUUUUCAUAAUUUAAAGUAUUAUUAUUAUUACUAUUACAAAAAGCUGCUACAAGAACUGGAUACUGUCAUGUAGAAGACUGCAGGUAGAUCUGUGUCUAUUGCCAUGCACAAAACUUAAGUCCAAAUGGAUCAAAGACCUCAACAUAAAUCCAGCCACACUGAACCUCUUAGAAGAGAAAGUGGGAGGUACCCUUGAACGAAUUGGUACAGGAGAUUGCUACACCAGUAUCACAGACACUGAGAUUGACAAUUAAUAAAUGGGACUUCCUGAAACUGAGAAGCUUCUGUAAAGCAAAGGACACAGUCAACAAGACAAAAUGGCAGCCCACAGAAUGGGAAUAGAUAUUCACCAACCCCACAUCUGACAGAGGGCUGAUCUCCAAAAUUUACAAAGAACUCAAGAAGCUAAUCUCCAAAAUACCAAAUAAUCCAAUUAAAAAGUGGGGUACAGAAAUAAAUAGAGAAUUCUCAAUAGAGGAGUCUAAAAUGGCUGAUAGACACUUAAGAAAGUGCUCAACAUCCUUAGCCAUAAGGGAAAUGCAACUCAAAACAACUCUGAGACCAUCUUACUCCUGUCAGAAUGGCUAAAAUCAAAAACACCAAUGACAGUUUAUACUGGAGAGGAUGGGGAGAAAGGGGAACACUGCUGGUGGGAGUGCCAACUUGUACAGUCACUUUGGAAAUCAGUAUGGUGAUUCUCAGGAAAAUGGGAAUCAGUCUACCACAAGAUCCAGCAAUUCCACUCUUAGUCAUAUACCUAAAAGAUGCACAUUCAUAAAACAAGGACAUCUUUUCCACUCUGUCCAUUGCAGCAUUAUUUGUAAUAGCCAGAACCUGGAAGCAACCUAGAUGCCCCUCAACUGAAGAAUGGAUAGAGAAAAUGUGGUACAUUUACACAAUGGAGUACUACUCAGUAGAAAAAAAACAAUGGAAUCUUGAAAUUUGCAGGCAAGUGGAUGGAACUAGAAGAACCAUCCUGAGUGAGGUAACCCAGUCACAAAAAGACAAAAAUGGUAUGUACUCACUCAUAUAUGGAUUUUAGACAUAAAGCAAAGGAUUACCAGCCUACAAUCCACACUGCCAGAGAAGCUAGGAAACAAGGAAAACUCUAAGAGAGACAUACAUGGUACCCUGGAGAAGGGGAAAGGGACAAGAUCUCCUGAGCAAAAUGGGAGCAUGUGGGGAGGGGAGAAGGAGUUAGGAGAAAGAGAGGGGGAGAGAGAAGGGGAGAGGAGGACAUGAGGAAGCUAGUAGGUUGAGUCAGGGGAAGAAUAGAGGAAAGCAAGAUAUGAGAUACCAUAACAGAGGGAGCCAUUAUAGGUUUAAAGAGAAAUCUGGCACUAGGGAAAUGUUCAGAGAUCUACAAGGAUGACACCAACUAACAAUCUAAGCAACAGUGGAGAAGCUACCUUAAAUGCCCCCCAAUAAUGAGAUUGAUGACUACCUUAUAUGCCAUCCUAGAGCCUUCAUCCAGCAGCUGAUGGACAUAGAAGCAGACACCCACAGCUAAACACUAAGCUGAACUUCUGGAAUCCAGUUUCAGAGAGGGAGGAGUAAUGAAAAAAGGGGUCAAGACCAGGCUGGUGAAACCCACAGAAACAGCUGACCUGAACAAGGGGGAGCACAGGGACCCCAGACUCAUAGCUGAGAAACCAGCAUAGGACUGAUCCAGACCCACUGAACAUGGGUUUCAGUGAGGAGGCCUCGGCAAUCUAUGGGGCCUCUGGUAGUAGAUCAGUAUUUAUCCCAAACACACAAAUGGACUUUGGGAGCCCAUUUCACAUAGAGGGAUACUCUUUCAGCCUAGACAAAUGGGGAGGGCCCUAGGCCCUACUCCAAAGGAUAUGACAGACUUUGAAGGUCACCCAUGGAAGGCCUCACCCUCCUUGGGGAGCAGAAAGAGGAUGGGAUUGAGAGUUAAUGAGGGGGCAGGGGAGGAGGGGAGGUAGAGGGAACUGGGGUUGACAAUGUAAAACAAGCUUGAUUCUAAUUUAAAUAAGAAUAGGGGGAAAAAGCUGCUACAAAUGAUCCUAUAGUAUUGGCACAAGUUUCUUUCCCAUCUGGUUCCAUAGCCAUAAAUAAACACACAGAGGCUUCUAUUAAUUUUAAACUGUUUGGCCUAUGGCUCAGGCUUCUUAUUGGCUAGCUCUCUCUUAAUUAUUAACCCAAUUUCUAUUAAUCUAUGUAUCUCCACAUAGCCUUGGCUUACCAGUGAUGUCUGGGCCCCUUUCUUCCUCAGCAGCUACAUGGCAUACAAUGGGUUAAUAAUUAAGAGAGAGCUAGCCAAUAAGAAGCCUGAGCCAUAGGCUAAACAGUUUAUAAUUAAUAGAUGCCUCUGUGUAUUUGUUUGGGACUGAACGCCUGUGGGACUGGGUGGGAAAGAAACUUCUGCCAACAGUGGAGAGAUUUCUGUGCAAAAAUACAUUUGUACUUCUCAGAGAUAACUAUGCUGGGUGUUGUAGGCCAUUUAGUAAGUGAGAUCUGCACUCUCUCAUCUUCCCAUCCAGGAUUCCCCAUCUCUACUUUCAUCUAUGUUCUAAUAUCCUCUAAGGUGUCCCCCCACCUACGUUCUACUAUCCUCUGAAAUGUUCCCCACCCUCAGUGGUCUUUGUCUAGUUUCCCAAAUGAUACUCCAAGUUAAACACAUAAAACCUAGAGUUUCUAAGCUAAAAUCCAUAUAUGAGGGAUCUUUCUGGACUUGGGUUACCUUAGUCAGUAUAAAUUUUUCCACUUGCAGCCAUUUAUCUUCAAUAAAUAUUAUAAUUUCAUUUCCCUUUACACUGGAAUAAAACUCCACUCUCUGUGUGUACCAUGUUUUUAUUAUGUAUUCUUCAGUUGAUAGAUGUUGUGUUAGUAGGUUUUUUUUGUUUUGUUUUUUGCUGUGACAAAACACCCUGACUAGGGCAACUUAGAAAAAAGAAAGGGUUUCAUUGGGUUUACAGUUUCAGAGGGCUGGAGUCCAUGGUGGCAGAGCAAAGGCACAGGGACAGGAACAGGCUGAGCAGCAGCUGAAAGCUCACACCUUGAUCUGCAGAUAGGAGACAGAGAGGGAGAAAGGAGACAGAGGGGGAGGGAGAGAGAACAAGAAGGAACAAUGGGAAUGGCACAAGUCUUUUGAGGCCUCAACACCUAUCUCUUCCCACAAGGCCACACCUCCUAAUCCUUCCACCAAAUGAGAACCAAGCAUUCAAAUACAUGAGCCCAUGGGGGCCUUCAGCUGAUCCCUGAAAAAGCUAGAAACAGGCUACCACCUGACCCUGUACCGUUCCUGGGCAUAUUCCCAAUGGGUUCUGAAUCCUGUUGCUGAGAUGCUCGCUCGCUCUUUCAUGUUCAUAAUUCACAAAGACCAUGACCUUUGUCUGGCUCUAGUGCUUCGGGGUGUCUCCUUAGCCUAGCUACUGAGCUGGCCAUAGUCAGUUGUAUCCAGUCCAGCUUCUGUUGCCUACCACACUAUGAUUAGGAAACGGUUCAUUGUUGGUUCAUGGGACAAAAGGAUGACAGCUCAAGAUGCCAAUUUGUGUUUGUUUUGACCAGCUCUUGAGGAACCCACUUGUUCACCCUUCUGAUUUGCUUCUAAUACCAAGAAAUUGUCAAAUGGUCCACAUGGAGUUGGCUGGCAGCUUCUCGUGUAGUUUUGUGAGCGGAUCUGUGAUUGCUCUCAGGCGAUCAUUGUCAACUUCUAAUGGCCUGGCCUGACACGCCUCAUCUUCAAGGUGUUCCUCUCCUUUGCAAACCUUUUCUUUUGAAAGUUUUUAUUUUGUUUUAUGUGUAUGAGUAUUGUGCCUGCUUGUAAGAGCUCCUCCACACUGCUGCACAGGGGGUUAAGUUCUAGCAUAUGGUGACUGGGGGACGUGAUCAUCUGGAGCAGUUAUUUUAUUACUGAUUUUCAACGAUAAGUUGAAAUGUGUUGUAAAAACAUGUGCUGAACUGCAGAAAAAGGGGGGGCAUUUAUAUUGGUUAUACAAUGAGUUUUCUUAGAUAUAUAUUAGGCUAAGCAAAAAUAUAUUUCAAAAAUUAACUUCACCUGUUUCUUUGUACCUUUUAGAAGUGGCUACUAGAAAUUUAAAAUAGCCCACUGUGGCUCGCUUGUGCGGCCUCCAUAGUGUGGAAUAUGAGCAGUGUGGGCCACUUUCUCAGCCAUGGUCAGCCGUGGGCAGUGACCAUGCAGGAGCCAGAGCCAGGAACAUGACACUGAGCCGCCACAUUAAAGGCGCUGGUCUCUGUGGUUCUGCUCUCCAAGGCCAGGGCCCAACCACAGGCCCCACAACAUGAAGAAAAGAACUCGAGGUCAGCGCGGCCUUUGCUGGACUCCAAGCUCCUCAGGAUGUUCGUGCACUUAUCCACAUUUGUUCCCUUGUCCAUGGACUAGCAGGAGGGGGACCUCUAACAGGGAUAUUCCCCUUUUAAUCAGCUUUUCUAGUACCUACUAUGUGCCCUAAGAAAGCUCAGCACACACUCAUCCUCAUCUCUCCCUUAUCUCCAGAGACAGUGAGCUGAGAAUAGCUGGGAGCAGUACAUUGUUCGGAGCACUUUUUAGGAGGCCGCUGCUUCCCAGGGAUGGAUUUCUCCUCUGUGUUAGUUCAGAGCAGUCUUUUCUUUCUCUGUCUUUCAACUUCCCCAUCUAUGGCAUGGGGACGGUGACAUCGCCUGUCCCAUUGGGUUGCUUUGAGGGUCAGAAGAGACAGGGCGAGUCAGGCACAAUUCUGGAUCCUUGGACUCUAGAGGCAAAGCUGCUGUUCCCAAUGGUAUUUAUUGCACUAGUUAUAGUUGUUGUUUUCAAAUCGCAGUGAUUCCAAAGGUGUUCCCAGAAGAAUAACCCAGGGGACAAAAAGGAAAGAUCUAGAAGACUUCUGCAAGUGAUGAAGGAUAUCCUUGACUCUAUAAAGAGUUCAUUAAAAAUUCAUAUCCAAGUGGUGCACAUCCUGGCUGCCUGGGGCUCCUGCCAAGAAGGGCUGUGCCUGGGCUCAGUCAGUCAAAAAUAUGGUGGAGACAGCUCCAACUGCUGCCCACCAGCCCAGCCAUUCCCUGCCCACAUCCCCGGAUACUGACCUCUGCCUGCAUAUGUCUGCCACCUUCUGCAGUAGGCUUCUCCAGUCUAGGGCUGUGACCCUUUAAUAUAUUUCCUCAUGUUGUGGUGACCCCAAGCAUAAAAUUAUUUUGUCUUCACUUCAUAAUUGUAUUUCUGCUACUGUUAUGAAUUAUAAUGUAAAUAUCUUCUAGAGGGAGUUGACAAAGGGGUAGUGGCCCACAGGUUGAGAGCCACUAAUCUAGUAGAAGCCACCAGGCCUGAAUUCAGGGCAAAGAUAACAGCACCGGAAUGAUGGUCUUGGACUAGAAGUGAGCAGGUACCAUGGAGAAACCUUCCAUCCCUAGGCAAUGACCCAAAGGUGUCAGUGUGUGUUCCCUACUGACCAACACCCAGAUUUCUCAGUUUUGGGUUGCAGUCCUGUACAGUCACUAUUAGUUUGAUAAAGCGCCCUUAGUUCAUUGUUAUGAACACAUAAACAAGGAAGAUGAAGUUCAAGCUUUGCUUGGGGAAUCCAACUCAACAUUCCCUUCCAAGAGAAUACAGAUUGGAUGAGGUGGUACCUCUGCCUUCAGAACUCCCCUCUCUUCCCGUCUUCUCUCCCACUCCAUCCCCACACGACUGUACAGUAACCAGGUCAAGAAUAGUGAGCUAGGCAGAGGGAGUUAAAGUUUUCCCGCUUCCUGGAAGUGAGCUAGAGAAGCUCUUGGUCCUUGUGACGGUUAGUGUUGUUAACCUGACAGAUCUAAAAUCACCUGGGGGAUGGGAGUCCUAAGUAUGACUGUGCUAGGCUUGGCUUGGUAGAGCUAAUAGAGGGGGAAAACCCACCUGCUGUGGGCAGGACCCUUCUCUGGGUCCUGGAAUGCGUAACUGGAGAAAGGGAAUUGAGCAGCAGAAAAUAUAAGUUCACCUCCUUCUGCUGAGUGACAGUAGAUGCCAUGUGAACACAUAUUCUCUCUUUUUUUAAACUUUUAUAUAUUUUUAAUUUAACUUCUUUAUUGAUUCUUUGGGAGUUUCACAUCAUGCACUCCAAUUCCACUCACCUCUGGGUCCCCCAUAUCUUCCCCUCACCCCUGUAGCACCCUCCAAAAGAAAAUGAGCAAAGCAAGUAAACAAACAAAAUCAAGAACAAAACAACCGCCCCCAAAGAAAAGAAAGAAAAGAAAAGAAAAAAAAAAAAAAACCUCUUCGAUUCUCCCUCUUUCCCACCUCUCUGACAUCUCUUCAUUGAUUCCUGGUGGCACUGGAGGCCUUGCUGUGUCACACAGCAUAGCCUUUUGUCCUAUCAGCUUUACUAGCAAAUGUUCAUUGCAAGGAGUCACUGGUCUGGUUCAAGGCCUCUAGUUUCUGGUACACCAUCAUCACUGGAUCCUCUGGGAUAUCCCAUGGCCAUACUGAGUCUUGGAAAUCUUGUGGGUAUUGUUUCACAGGACCAGUUUCUUCAGAGCUCCAGCAGGUCCUAGACAGGGUAGAUGCUAGGGUGGGCCAACCCAAGGCCUGACUGUGGGCCUGGGUAGUAGCUAAACUGGUCAGUCCGGCUACUGUGGCCACCUGCCUCAGGUGAGGGGUGGAGUCAUCUCUCAUAUGCUGUCAGGAUCCAUUCAUUUGACUGUGGUGUAGGGUGGAUCCAUCUCUCCAGCUUGCAGGGGCCAGCUCUCUUGCUAUAGUAUCUGAAGGAACCAGCUCCCCAUUUCGGCAGCCAUAACAGCCUAGCACGUGCUUGCCUGACCUUGCCUUGGUCACUAGGAGGUCAGAUGCCUGCCCAUUUUGGCAGCCAUGACAGUCUAACACAUGUUUGCCUGACCUUGCCUUGGUCACUAGGAGGUCAGAUGCCUGCCCAUUUUGGCAGCCAUGACAGUCUAACACAUGUUUGCCUGACCUUGCCUUGGUCACUAGGAGAUCAGAUGCCUGCCUCGUGGCAAGGAACCAAUCAGAAGUUAGCUGGUGGUGCUAUGCUUUACGGCUCUGGGUGUGCUUUUCGGACAAGUGCACAGCAAUGAUGCACAGAGCAUAGCAAUUGCCCUGGGAGGGCCUAUGGGCCAUAACAACCAGUUGACCAAUCAAUACAGAGCAAGCCUGGAGGCACACCAAUCCUGAGCCUGUGCGUACCCCUAGACACUCCCCUUACACUGCCCUAUAAGAUCUCUAUGCUGUGGCUUCGCAGCAUCUUUCCUAGCCAUCCUCCAUGGUGGAUGGAUGAAAGGCCUGAGCUAACAUGGAGUUAGCUCAUUAAAAAACUGCAAUAAAGCCUGGUGCUUUUUGCAUCAAGCUUUCGACUACGCCUGGUGAUUGGGGUCAUUGCAGUCCUGGGCCAGCAUCCUGGGGGCCUGAGCUUCUGGGGGUCUUUCACACACAAGCCCAGACCCCUGGUAUUGGCAUGGCCUUCGAUGGUCUCAGGAGAUACAAACAUCAACACAGCCUUUAUUUGUUUUUGAGACAGAGUCUCACUAUAUAGCUCUGGUUGGUCUGGAGCUCACAGAGAUCCAUCCAGCUCUGCCUCCCAAGUGCUGGGACUAAAGAUCAGUGCCACCAUGUUCUGCUUGUUCUCCCCUUAUUUAAAAAGUUGUUAUCUUUAAAGUAGAGUUUCUCUUUUAGUUGUGUGUCUUGUGUCAUUUCCAGAACCCACUUGACUCCUUCAACUAGUAAGAGCACAUGGAGCAUCAAGAGAGGGGGAUGGAAAAGCUGUGACUGACCCAUCCCAUCCAUGAAAAGCCUGACAGCUCUGAUGAUUCCUGGGGAUGGAACUCAGAGGGAGAAUCCAACAGCUCAAAGGCCACAUCAAAACAAGCCCAGGACGGAGCCUGCACUGGCAAGCAUCCUCCAAAGGAGCCCUGACCUUGUCACUGUCGACCAGAACCAAUUUCUCUCCAGUAUUGGCUGAUAUUUGGAAGAGCUGCUGUCUAUACUGCUGUCUACACUGCUGCUGCUGUCUACACUGCUGCUGCUGUCUACACUGCUGCUGCUGUCUACACUGAUGAUGCUGUCUACACUGAUGAUGCUGUCUAUACUGCUGCUGCUGUCUACACUGAUGAUGCUGUCUACACUGAUGCUGCUGUCUACACUGAUGAUGCUAUCUACACUGCUGCUGCUGUCUACACUGCUGCUGUCUACACUGCUGCCUCGGUCUGCUCUGAUGCACCACCUCUACACCACACCACCUCUACACUCCAUCUACACUGAUGGAUGCCAUCUCUACCAGUGCCUUUUAUUCAUUCCCCUGGUGCCCUGAUAAAGUGCGGGUAAGGGCAUCCUUGGGCCUUCUCUUGGUUCCUGGAACUCCUCCUUAUCUUUGAUACAUCUAAAUUAAUUUGUAAUUGACAGUUAAAGAACUAAACUCUCUGGCUAAUUUUAGAUAAGUCGACGUGUUCCCAAGCUGCUAUUUUUUUUAGCCACUCCUGGCCCUCAGCCAUGACCUAAUGAUUCUGCCAUUAGCAGUGUGGACAGCUCUGCGCCUCAGAAACACAGCGCUAUCCACAGUUCGUGUCAACAGCCUGCUCCUCUUUAAAGUCACAAACCCUCUGAGUUCCAGAAGUGUCUGCUGCUAAAUUUGGAUCCUGUCUUUGGUAAUUGUGCUCCUAUUAGGCUGAUGAGAGAGUUAGCAGAACUGGGCCUUUGGGCUUCUGCCCACAGUGUGAGCCAAACAGGAAAUGAUUCUGUGAACUUGACUUCUGAGAUGUGUAAAAGGCCUGUCCAUCACUUUGCUCAUGGCACAGGCACACUAUCAAAAUAGCAUGUGCUGCCUUUCCCAGGAGAUGAACUCUGGGCCUGGCAGGAACCCAGGAUUCAGCAGGAGUGAAAGUCUUUACUGGAAAAGGGGUGGCUGCUCUUUGAUUCUCCUGGAGUCCUGGCAAUGGCCCUUGUGGUGGCCACAACUUUGCCUGACAGGCUAAAUUCACUCCUGUUUGUGGAGAUGUGGCAUGGAAAGUCAACAGAGUAUGACCUCUGGAGGUAGAUGAGCCCAGGUUCAGGCCUUGUGACCUCUGGAGGCAGGGGAGCCUAGGUUCACACACUAGGGUUACCAUUUAUAACAGGAUGAACUGGGAUGGCCAGCCUCACUAAUGAUGGAUGAUAUCAUGUGUGGAAAGGACUGAGUUCAGAGAGCAUGUACAGGAAGAAGGGGCUGAGGUUCUCUCUCUGGCGCCAAUGAUGCACUUGACAUGAGUUUCUGAGUAUGGUAGUCAAGGUCCUCUAGAGAAACAGAAUGUAUAGAAUGCAUAUGUAUUUGAAAAGGAGAUUUACAUCACUGUUUGCGUAAUAGGGGCUGGGGAGUCCAACAAUGGAUGUUUGCAUAGAGGAGAGCCCAAGAAGAUUGCAGCUACUCAGUCUAUGAAGCUGUGUACCUCCAUAAUCCCAAUGUAAUGCUGAAACCUAGAAAGAUUCUUGGAGAGCUUCUGGAAUUCAGUCUACAUUAGAAGAUGAAAGGAAUUGAAGUCUGCCAUCUGUGAAGUGUAACAGCAGUGUAGAUUCACUCAUCAGCAAGACACAAACAACAAACACUGCCUAACCUUGGCCUCUUCAUGUCUGGGCUGGCUGGUUGAUGGUGUUGCCUACUCUGAGAGAAAGUCUUACACUGUCAAUUAAUACUUUCUGGAAAUACUCUUUACAGACUUGCCCAGAGUCACGUCUCUUAACUGAGCUCUCAUCCAGUCAAACCGACAACCAAGACUAACCAUUAAACUUGGAUUAGGAAGUUUGCUUCUCCUUCUGUAAAAAGAUGGCAAAUGAAUAAUCUGUGCUAUUCAUUUUAGUAUUGAUCAACUGAAAAAUCUAAAAUCUAGUGAUAUAUUUGUAAUGUCUGUCAUGGCUGAGUAGUAGGUGGUUAAGAAGAGCAUUCCAUGCGUUUCUGUCUCCCUUCUGGAAUGUAAGCUCUGAAGCUAAACUUGAACAAUAAUCCAAAGCAUUUUUGCUUCUUAUUCUUCAUAAGGUCUAUUCUAAUCCAAUGGUUGCUGGGUUUUAAACACCCAAACCCCACAGAGACCUUGAGUUUCAAAAUGGCAGACACUAUAACCCGCAAGAAAAACAUUAAUAAUCUUACCCUAUAUAUAAAGGAUUGACAUCUCAGAUUCGGGGACAAAUUGCCCAGAAUCCUGCAGUAAGAUGAUAGAAGAUAACAGGUACACUGUCAGGAAGGCCUGGACAGAAGUCCUCAUGUUACUGUCUGUGAGAAGUGGGAAUGUACUAGGGUGUGGUCUAUACUUGUCCCAGAAGGGGUUUUUCCAGCUUUGUUUCUGUGAUUCAGAACACCCCCACCCCAAAGAAUCCCUCAGACAGCAUGAAGAGUCUUUUUAGGCUUCAACUCUAGCCUAUGCAAUGACCUUCAGUAGGUCACUUUUUAGGAUCUUUACCCAUGCUGUGUGCCCAGCUCAAGAGACGCAUCCCCCGGAGUACAGGAGCUGAUCAGCAGACCCAGGUGUCCUUUCUCAGGACAUGCUAAGAGAACUCCAGAGAUCUGAGGUCCAGAGGGGCUUUCCCUUUAAAAGGCAUCAACAAGGAAGUGUGUGUGUGUGUGUGUGUGUGUGUGUGUGUGUGUGUGUUGUAUCUAGGGGAGAAAUAUUAUAAUAAUGGGAAGAACAAGGCAUUUUACUGACUUGCAGAUGAAAGCUGCCUUUAGUUGGAUUUCUCAGCCUUCUACACAUCAAUUCAGCUGUGCCUGGAAAAAUACUUAACUUGCCACAGGAUGCCAAGUCAUGAGACAGGGAGAGAGAGCACAGGAGAGAAAGAAACAGAGACAGGGACACAGAGACACAGAGAGUUGGAGACAGAGAGGCUAUUCUGGGUAAAACCCCGGCCCUUUCCCCAGAGCAAAGGGAUUAUAGGAAGGAAGGCGUCCUCUUCUUGGUGGCAGUCUCUUUAUUUGAUCUUCAUGUGAUGCUGGAAGAAAGUCAGAAUGAAGGGCUUUUGCAUGUUAUCCCAUGAGAGAUGGAGAGAGAAAACAAAAAGGAGGAAAGAUGGAAAAAGGCAGGACAGGGAAGAAAAGGGCAGAGAGGAAAUGAAAAGGAGAAAUGGGGAACACUGUGGAAGUGAGGAGGUAGCAAGUGAGAAGGAAUGAGGGAAGAGGAGAAUGAAGAGAGGGGAGCAGAUUGAGAGAGAGAGAGAGAGAGAGAGAGAGAGAGAGAGAGAGAGAGAGAGAGAGAGGGGAGCCAGGGAACAGACUGGUGGUCACAAAGACAGAAGGACAGGGAGUGUGCAGAGCCUCCGUCUCUCCCAUCUCCAAUCUGCCUAUAUGGCAGCAUGGCCCCUGCAUCCAUGGUGCCAUGUGUGCUUGGUUCUUAUGUGAAGCCAGAGGACAGUGCCGAGCCGGCUCUGAAUCCACAGCCAGAGCCUGAGCUUGCAGGAAGGAGUCUUCAGCUAGAUGCUGUAGAGAGGUGAGCCCGACCUCAGAGCAGCAAGCACCAACCCUCUGUGCCCAGGACCCCAGGAGAGGGCUUCUAACUGAUGUGGCUAGUCUAAGGAUCCAGGCAGAGCUGGAUUUGAGUCUUGAUCUAUUUUUACCAGUAGCUCUAGGCAUGUGGCUUUGAGUCUCAGUUUCCCCAUCUGUGACAUGACCCUAAUAUGAAAACAGGUCUGGUGGGUGGAGAAGACUGUGAAGAAACCAAAUAGCCAGGGCUAAUUCCAAGGUCAGAAAGCUGCAAACCAAUGCCAGGCAGCUUGAUUCAUGAGAGAAGACCUUUGUUUCUUCUUCUUCCAGCUUUGGCAUUUUAAAAAUUUAUCAGUGAUGCUGGCACCAGGAGUUUUCUUAUAGGAAGAAAUUUCUAUUCUCGGUUUCUCAUAAAAGAUUCUGGCAGGGCACUGGGGAGGCUUCCCUUGAUACGCUUCCUUUCAUGACCUGGAAGUUAUUUGACUUUUUCUUCAAGCACCUGUGUCUGCUUGCAUUUCUGUUUGAUUGACAUGAUCGUUCAUAGAGAAAGGUAAACACAAAUAGCCAAGGGACAAGCUGCCAUGUCUUUCUCAGAACAAAGCCAAGUGUCCGUCACAUUGACUCCAUCACCCCUGCUGACAUAGAACCCAUGGACUGAUGGGGUUGCAAGCAUGUUUCCCAGUGAGCUCAAGGAUCCAAGCAAGAGGCAGCAUCUCUUGAAAGAGUAUGUUUCUGUAUAAGUGUUUAAACAAUCGGCUUUCGUUCCAGGCAUUGCUCGGAGCUUUGCAUGUUUUCCAAGUAUUUAGGCAACAAGUAGGUAAAAUGACAGUAUAUUCAGAUGGUAGAAGACUUGGGCACAGGCAGUUCCCCCUCCAUAUUCACAUGGGAUUGGUUCCAGUACCCCUAGGCCUGCUGUAGACACCGAAAUCUGAGGUCCCUUGUGUAGCCUUUGCAUGGCACCUACACAGCCUCUUGAACCCACUUGGGCUGCUUACACUUCCUAAGACAAUGCACAUGCUGUGUUGAUGGUUGCUAGGGGACACUAUUCAGGGUCAAGAGGAGAAAGGGUUCAGAGCAGAUGCAGAUUUUCUCUGAAUAGUUUUGAUCAUAUGCAAGUUGAAUUCGUGGGUGUUGGAUCCAUCAUCUUUCUGGAGGACCAGUUGUGUGCCAGUAGGAUGCCACAGGGCAAAUAGGCAGAAAGCACCUGGGUUGAUGGAGGCAGGGGCUCCACUGCUUGAGUGCCUGCUGUGUUUUGAGUCCAGGGCUGUGCCCCUCAUCUAGACAUAUCUGUUCACUCAGAGCAUCUAUGGCCCAGCAUGGGAAGUAGGCAAGCAGACAAAAUCAAGUUUUCCAAGACGACAGUGCAUCGUUCUGGGGACUCCAAGAGAAACAGCUUGGAGGAGUAUAGUAUGAUUCUGCUCCCUGGGAAGGUUAAGCCCUGGAGAACAGUGGUACAAUUGAGCAUUCUAGGCAGGAGGUAGGAGCCAUAGAGGUGUAGCUAGGGGGUCCCAGGAAGACUGUAGGGUUCUGGGCCACUGCAUGGGAGAGUUGAGGGAGAGAUGGAGCAGGAAGGAGCCCUGGGAUCAUACUGGGCAUGUGCUCUGGCUGCUGAGCGGAAGAAGUGGGUGACAGUGGCAGGGAGCAGGAGCCCUGGGCAGCUGUGCCCUAGAACAAGCCUGAUGACACUCAGGAACAGGAAAGAUGACUUUGGAGGCAUGUAGAAGUGGCUUGAAGUGUCUGAGUCUGAAGGUGGAAGGUCAGAGAGAGAGAGGAAAUGGAGGCAAUGGUGGUGUCUAGGAGCAGAGACUGGAUUUCGCGGAAGCCUUGCUGGAGAAAAGGCUGAGGAGACUCAGGAACAGCUGCAGCCUCCCGAAGAAGACUAAUUUGCAUAAACACUGGAUCUCUGUGAAGUUCUACCCCAACCCAUGGAUGGCUAAUUGGGUUUGUACAUCCAACGGCAAACAUUUAUGGAUGCUGGCCCCACUGGGACUCCCAGCUAGGGGCUGAGAGAAUGAGAAGAGUAGAUUCCUGCCCAGGAAGUGGAGAGUCACCUAGAAACCUUGCUUUAUAAAGGAUUUUUGUGACCUAGCAUCCUAUGAAGCAGAUGGUUGCCCUCCCCCUCAACCCACACUCCAGUUCCCAUUUUCCCUGGCUCAGAUAAUACACAUGGCUGCCACUGAACUCAGGCAAGAAGAGCCAGGCCUGAUUGACAGUUUCCUGUGUGCCAGGCAUAGUAUCAAGGGCUUGUCACCAACUAUCUUACCCCAGAAUAGAGUUCAAGGCUUGGCAAGCUUCCUGUAAAAGGCCAGGCAGUCAAACGUUUAGGCUUGAAGGCCAAAUGGUCUCUGGAGCGGCUAUUUCAAUCUACCAUUGUAACAUGAAAGCAGUCAUAGACUAAACAUAAAUGAAUGGACAAGGCUGCAUUCCAAUAAAGCUUUAUUUAUACAAAUAGGCUGUGGGCCAGGGUUGGCCCCAAACCAUAUUUUGUUAAUAUAAGAUGGAGUUCCCUACUGUAGAUGAGGAGACUGAAUGUUUCAGGCGGGGCCUGGGGAAUGGAGACCACUCAAACAGGGAGCUGGAGAGGCUUACUUCAAGUAAGAAUAGCAGAGGAGAGGAAGCAGCAGGGGUGGUGGGGGGAGUUGUCUCCUCCAGCCACAUGGGGCACUGCUUGCAAACUCUGGGGUGCAGGGGUGGCUGGACAAAUGCUGCCCCCCUUGGAAUAGUGGAAUAGUGCCUCACUGAUGAAGCUGAGGUGGCACCCUGACCUGACUGUCCCCUCCUGUGUCCACCCUUCAGCUGUUGUCCUUCCACCUGUCCCAUUGAAGACCAGGGAUCCAUUGAGGCAGGCAGAGAGUGGCAUGCUGGCAAAUGGAGGUCAUGCAGACCCCAGGACAACACAACCAAGGCUUGGGGAGGCUGAACAGCUGCUCACUCACAAAGCUCCUGAGCAGCAGCAACAGAAUUUCAAGUCACCCUUGUUCCAUCUAUCCUCCAGCCGCCAUGUUGUUGUUGUCUUAUGUAGCACUGGGCAUGAAACCCAGGACCUCAUACAUGUGUUCAGCAAGUGCUUGGCCUCACUAAAUUCUCUUCUGGGUAGAGUUUAACAUACGAGAGGUGACAGGCUACAGGAGAGCCAGGACGAUUUGCUGCAGGAGGAAGCUGCCCUCUGAGGAAAAGCAGCUCCAAGUGUGGCUCCUUGAUGUGACUUUAGGACUAGACGAGCCUGUGUUGAAUCCCAGCUCAGCUAAUGACUUGUGUCUUGGGGGCAACUCCUUUUACCUCUUGGAACCCCACUGUUCCUCUCUGGAAAAGUCAAUUAUCUUUCUUCAUACAGAAUGGUUCUCGAGGGGCACUCAGCAGACCUCUAACCCACUGGGAUGUUAGUUUACCAAGAAAAUUCCCAAGACCCAUCUCAGAUUGUAUGAACCCCAGAGACCAUGGCUGUGAUCAGAAAACCCAUGCCCUGUUUGGGUCCUCGAGGCAAUCUGGACUUUUCUAUCUGUGAGAACCCAGUUAUAUCAGUUUCUCCCCCCAUUGUUGUGAUAAAGCACUCCACCUGAAGCACUUGAAGGAAAGAAGACUUCAUGUGGCUCACAGUUCAAGGGCACAGAGCAUCAUGGUGGGGGCGUCAAGGCAGCAAGAGCUUGAGUUGCUGGUCGCAUCACAGUCACAGUCAAGAACAGAGAGGGAUGAGAGCUGUCACUCAUGCCUUUUCUCUGCCUGUGUAGGCCAGGAUCCCACCCUGUGUAGGCAGGAAAUCUGCCACCCAGGGUGGGUGGGUCUUUCCACCUCAAUGCCAUUAAGACAAUUUCCCCCAUGGGGAUGGAGAGGUGACUGCAUGGCUAAGAUCGCUUGCUGAUCUUGCAGAGGAUCUGGGUUUGGUUCCCAGCACCUACACACUGGGCAGCUCACAACCUCUUGUAAUUGCAGAUCCAGGGGGAUGUGGCACCCCUGCUGGUCUAUGUGGAUACUGCAUGUAUAUGGUGUACAUACAGACAAGCAGGUACACACAUGUACACAUAAAUAAAAGUAAGUAAAAUUAAAACAAAGAAAGGCAAACAACCCCCCACAGGCAUGUCCAGACACACAUCUUAUAGGUGACUCCAGAUUCUGCCAAGUUGGCAAUUAACACUAGCCAUAACAUCAGUCUUGUGGCUUUUUGUCAAAGUUAAAUAAACUAUAUAGUUGCAGAUUUGGCGUCAGCUAACCCAUCAUUUGAAAUAGCAGAUCCUGUACCAUGUUACUGACCAGAAUGAGACCUCAGUCAUUUGACCACCAUGGGGAUAAUAUCACCUUCAUUCCCCAUUUAACAGCUGGGAAAACAGAGAGCAGAGGACCCAGAUACCUGCCUGAGACUUGUAGAUAUCCACUGGCCCAGACACAAGCAUGCUGGCUUGUGUCCUCUCUUUUCCCGUAUGGUGUGAUAUGGUGGGAAGGCCAAUGGAUGGGGGCGGGUAUGUAGCAACUGGGAAAGUUCAGAGGCCCCAGGGAAAGCCCAAGGGCUGAAGGUGAGAUGUUCAAUCUCCAUAGGAGCUGCAGAAUGGGACCACCCAGUAGGACCUGGCAAAUCGUCUAAGCCUCUCCCCUGCCUUGGGACGGGCACAGCCUCCACAAAGCUCUGCAACCCAGCAGGGUGUGCGAAACCAGCCAGGGUGUAUGAUUCACACUAGGGGACUGGCAGCUUGCACACCGAGGCUUCCUCUCCUCCUUCUUUUAAAUCAAGCCAUGAGACUGGUUCAUGGCAAAGGGACCCAAAUACUCUGCAGAGAGAGAGACAUGUGUCCUCAGGAGUGCCAGGCUUCUCCCUGGCAUCUUUUUGUGGAGAUACUGAGACAUGUAUUUUUUUAAACUAAUAAAUCCUAAAUCUUGUUUGAAUCCCAACCCAGAACAGAUGCAAUGCAUAUGGUCAGUAGACCUGGAGUUGCAAAUAAAUACAUUUGGAAACCAAAUAUUUAAAAAGCAA